Molecule: long non-coding RNA, 632 nt
Organism: Myzus persicae (green peach aphid)
Lineage: Eukaryota; Metazoa; Arthropoda; Insecta; Hemiptera; Aphididae
Exons: 3
Source: RefSeq, a predicted model, not a curated record
GACGAUGUUAGAAAUGAACUAGACAUUGUAAAUGGUGAUAAUAAGUUGAAAUUAGAUAUAUCUGAAAACUUGAACACUAUUAUCACAGCAAAGUCUCUUACAUCUGAUGCAUCUAUUCAAGACAAUAUUGAAGGAGAACAACAGAUCUACAAGUGUAGAAGUUAAAAAUGCCAACAUUAAUCUGAUUAAUCUAGAGAUUUAUUUCCAAUUCAAAAGAUCAAAGUCCAAUUCAACCAAUUUUAAAAUCAUUUCCUAUGAACUCUGAAAGAAGGUAUUAUGAAGUACAUAACUGGUUGGAAUAUUCAAUUUCAAGAGAUGCAGAUUUUUUGCUUUUCCUGCAGGCAUUUUCUUAAUAAUAAUAAUGUUUGUGGUCAAAUUGAAAAUAAUAUUAUAAUUGUGCAACAAGGCUUUAAUCUUUGGAAGACACAGAAACAGUCAUUUAUAAAACAUGAACUAAGUGAAAGACAUUUAUCAAACAUUGAAAAAUGGACGAUGUACUUAAGUGUAAAAAAUAAAAAUAAUUCAGUGGCCAAUGCAUUGUUUCAUUCUAGAUCUCAAGCAAUUACUGAAAAUCGUGAACACGUUAAAUUUUUGUUUAAAAACAACAUUAUUUUUAGGAAAGCAAGGACUUG